RNA transcript from Andrographis paniculata, 1933 nucleotides. It is a transcript of the gene named protein RMD5 homolog, with no coding region annotated. NCBI's taxonomy places the organism in Eukaryota, Viridiplantae, Streptophyta, Magnoliopsida, Lamiales, Acanthaceae. The transcript has 4 exons. The record is from RefSeq and is a predicted model, not a curated record.
CAAAAUUUUGCUAGAAUUGCGAAUCAAUCAAUCAUCGUUGCAGUUCCUAUCUAUAUGCAAUAUUCCUCUGCUUUCUUGGGGUAGUUAUUCUUCUCUGUCGCUCCUCGUUGGCGUGCUUGAUCUGUACUCCUGAUUCGUGUUGCACAUCUAGAAAUGGAGUUGGGCUCGAUCAAAGAUGCUUUUGAACAUGUGACGAAAAAACAAAAACUUUCAUCUUCAAAAUCUCAAGAAGUCAUUGAGCAGAUUGGACAAGGAAUCGAACAUGCUUUAUCAAGAAUACAAUCUGCGCCUGAUGCUGUCUCUCCAUCCGAUCAUAAAUUGGUCCUCAGUGAAUUGAAUGCUAAGUUGAAGGAAAUUGCUCUACUCAACCAACUGGAAGGGACACAGAAGGAAUUGAAUCUGGCUUUGAGCAAGUAUCCGAAACUUCUUGAGAGAACUUUCAAUCCCGACAUUUCAAAGGCAUAUCGCAAUGUUGAUUUUGAUGUCCACACAGUUAACCAAAUAAUUGCCAGCCACUUCUACCGUGAGGGCCAAUUUGACAUCGGGGACUGUUUCGUGAAUGAAUCCAAUGAACCAGAGGCCUCAGAUAUAAAGUCACCAUUUUUAGAAAUGUUUCAAAUACUGGAAGCCAUGAAGUCUGGAAAUCUUGAGCCGGCUCUGAAUUGGGCAACAAAGAAUCAUGAGCAACUGAUUCAGAAAGGAUCUGACAUUGAAAUGAAACUUCACAGCCUUAAAUUUGUAGAGAUAUUGCGGAGUGGUAGCCGGGACGAAGCUUUGAAAUAUGCUAGGACCUUUUUAGCUCCAUUUUCUGCUAAACAUCUGCCUGAAUUACAGAAACUCAUGGCUUGCAUAUUAUGGGCUGGGAAGCUUGAUUCUUCGCCGUAUUCUGAACUAUUAUCCUCCAUACACUGGGACAAACUGUCCGAGGAACUCGCCCGCCAGUUCUGUAAUCUUAUGGGGCAGUCUUAUGAGAGUCCAUUGAGCGUGGCAAUUGCAGCUGGAGUUCAGGGGCUGCCAACAUUGUUGAAGUUGAUGACUGUGAUGGCCGGGAAAAAGCAGGAAUGGCAGUCCAUGACACAAUUACCGGUGCCAGUGGAUUUAGGUCAAGAGUUUCAGUUCCACUCGGUGUUUGUUUGUCCAGUUAGCCGAGACCAAGCAAGUGAAGACAACCCUCCUAUGUUGUUGUCCUGCGGGCAUGUGCUGUGCAAGCAUUCGAUCACAAAGCUAUCAAAAAACAACAGCACUAGACCAUUCAAGUGCCCCUAUUGCCCAUCUGAAGUCGAAGCAGGUCAAUGCAAGCGAUUAUACUUCUGAAGCUUCACAAUAAGUAAAUUGCUUAAGACAAAGCUCUUUGGCCUUCCCAUCUUUGCUGCACUCGACAAAUCCAAAUGGCUUGACAUCAAUCACAUCUGAGGCUGAGCAGUUGCAGUCAAGAACUUUUACAGAUGAGCAACUUGUGUCAUAGAUCUUUGUACGUGUGAUGAUCCUUGUGCGGGACCAAAACCAAAUGCCCUGCCAUUUCACAUUCCAAACAAUUUGAAAGUGAUAUGUGAAUACGGGAGAACAAGGGCAAACGAGUCAUAAACAAUCAAUUGCAUCAUAUGAAGUUUGGAGGAAAGUUUUGAAUUUCUGAAAGCUCAACCAUGUAAAUACAAACCAAAAAGAUCUAGGAAAUAAUGGCUCAUUGGAACAAGACAUGUAUAUGCUUGCUACCAAAAAAGCUCUCAAUUUUAAUAUAUUUACUUUCAAAUAUAAAUUAAAUGACACCUGGACAAUAUUAAUUGUUCAAUUGGUUUGAAUUGGACAAGAUAUAUCAUCAUACAUAUCAUCAUUCUCUUUCGAUUAUAUUUUUGAAAGAGAGAGACGUUAAGGGCAAGAACAAAACAAUUGAAAAUAAUAGAGCAAGUAAAAUAAAGACAAAAAGCUGAGAGGA